AGAGCGAACGCUGGCGGCAGGCUUAACACAUGCAAGUCGAGCGGGCGUAGCAAUACGUCAGCGGCAGACGGGUGAGUAACGCGUGGGAACGUACCUUUUGGUUCGGAACAACACAGGGAAACUUGUGCUAAUACCGGAUAAGCCCUUACGGGGAAAGAUUUAUCGCCGAAAGAUCGGCCCGCGUCUGAUUAGCUAGUUGGUGAGGUAAUGGCUCACCAAGGCGACGAUCAGUAGCUGGUCUGAGAGGAUGAUCAGCCACAUUGGGACUGAGACACGGCCCAAACUCCUACGGGAGGCAGCAGUGGGAAUAUUGGACAAUGGGCGCAAGCCUGAUCCAGCCAUGCCGCGUGAGUGAUGAAGGCCCUAGGGUUGUAAAGCUCUUUUGUGCGGGAAGAUAAUGACGGUACCGCAAGAAUAAGCCCCGGCUAACUUCGUGCCAGCAGCCGC
RNAcentral lists this ribosomal RNA (447 nucleotides) under uncultured bacterium. RNAcentral describes it as "SSU rRNA". It matches the Rfam family "Bacterial small subunit ribosomal RNA", at positions 26 to 518 of the family's 1533-position model. The record is from RNAcentral.